RNAcentral lists this ribosomal RNA (492 nucleotides) under uncultured bacterium. Its description in RNAcentral is "partial 16S ribosomal RNA". It matches the Rfam family "Bacterial small subunit ribosomal RNA", at positions 29 to 507 of the family's 1533-position model. The record is from RNAcentral.
AGUGAACGCUGGCGGUAGGCCUAACACAUGCAAGUCGAACGGCAGCACAGUAAGAGCUUGCUCUUACGGGUGGCGAGUGGCGGACGGGUGAGGAAUACAUCGGAAUCUACUUUUUCGUGGGGGAUAACGUAGGGAAACUUACGCUAAUACCGCAUACGACCUACGGGUGAAAGCAGGGGAGCUUCGGACCUUGCGCGAGUGAAUGAGCCGAUGUCGGAUUAGCUAGUUGGCGGGGUAAAGGCCCACCAAGGCGACGAUCCGUAGCUGGUCUGAGAGGAUGAUCAGCCACACUGGAACUGAGACACGGUCCAGACUCCUACGGGAGGCAGCAGUGGGGAAUAUUGGACAAUGGGCGCAAGCCUGAUCCAGCCAUACCGCGUGGGUGAAGAAGGCCUUCGGGUUGUAAAGCCCUUUUGUUGGGAAAGAAAAGCAGCAGGUUAAUACCCCGCUGUUCUGACGGUACCCAAAGAAUAAGCACCGGCUAACUUCGUG